Long non-coding RNA from Oryza sativa Japonica Group (Japanese rice), 1644 nucleotides. RefSeq lists it as uncharacterized. NCBI's taxonomy places the organism in Eukaryota, Viridiplantae, Streptophyta, Magnoliopsida, Poales, Poaceae. The record is from RefSeq and is a predicted model, not a curated record.
GGAUAGUUAGGUAAUUUCACGUGUAUCUUCUUUAUCUGUCUCCUGUUUUUUCUCUCUCCAAAAGAUGCUGCAUCGAUCGAUGGAUCUUGCCAGUGAUGGCUCUUACCAGAGUGGAGGCAGUGGGGACCGACAAGCCUCCUUACAUCACUUUCCCAAGCUCACCGGUGACAUAUGCCUUCCGUGCGGCCCUUCCCCUAAGGGCAUCACAAAUGUGAGCCACUCCUAGGGUGCCCCUACUAACUGAAGGACUCUAGAGGUACUCACCUCUACCAUGCAGGUCAUAUAUGGGUAGCCCAAUGAGUAUCACAACCCAAAAAAGCCCGUUUCUCUCAUCUUCCUCUCUUUCCUAUUCUACCCCUCUCUUCCCUCCCCCUCUCUCUCUCUCUUUUUCCGUCCAAAGUCCGAACCGUCCUUCCACUCGCCGCCUCCUUCCUUCUCUCUCACCGCCGCUCCCACCGCCGCCUGCUUCCCUCUCUCUCGCCGUCGCCUGCUUCCCUCUCUCUCGUCGCCGCCUGCUGCUUCCGCUCGCCUCCCUCUCUCUCCCGCCAUCGCCACCGUCUCCCGCCGCCGCCCCCGAAUCGAGCGCACGGGGCGGAGGCGGCAGUCGUCGUCGUCUGGUGGCCGGAGCGGCAGAUCCGGGGCGGAGGCGACAGUUGUACUCGUCGUCGUCGUCGUCCGGUGGCCGGUCACCGCUCUCUCCCUCUCUCUCUCUCUCUCCCGUGGAAGGUGGCGGCGAAGACCCCGGAGGCGGCAGAUCCGGCGCCACCGUGGCCGGAUCUGGCCCUCCGGCGGAUGGAGCAGCGUCGGCCCCGCCGCAUGAAGACGGUGGCGGCGCCGGCGGUAGCUGCAUCGACGAUGGCGCCGCGCUGGCCGCCGCCACCUCCCUCCUCGCCCUCCCUUCUUCUCUCCGGCGGCGAGCGGCGCCUCCGCCUUGCCCUUGACGCAUGGGUCGGUGACAGAGGGGAGAGGGGUGGAAGAGGAAAUCAAAGAUCGGGUGCGUCGCCUCAAGAACCUCUACCUACGCAGUGGGCUGCUUCGCCCAGUCCCCCUGCCAAAAGUGAGCGAGGGACGCGUUCCCCAGCUGAGGGACGCGUUCCAUCGCGAGGGGGCGAUGCGGAUGGAAAAGCUAACGGACGGAGCUAGGGGCACGGGUCAAAGGCGUUGCUGGCCCCCAACGCGCUGUCGUCCAACACCGCACCUCCACACCGUGCGACGUCCCCGGCACCGACCACACCUCCCUCGGCACCAACCACCCCUCCUACUCCUCGUCUUCUCUACCGUCGCGCAACAGCCUCCGACGCAGGCGCCGUCGGUGCCCAUCACGCCGCCGUCCAACGCCCCGCCGCCAGCGCCCCCGGCACCGACCACGCCUCCCUUGGCACCACCGGUGCCGACCACCUGAGCACAGUGGUGGAGACACAGUCUGAGAGAAUGAGCAUCACGAGCUGGACUUAGCUUGUGAGGUUUUCGAUCCUACCCUCCAAGAAUGAACGGCGGGAUUUAGAUUGGUAUAAUAUGCUGGACCGGAACAAUGCUCUAAUCCUAAUCCUAAUCAAUCCCUUAUAAUUGUUUCCUUCUAAUUUCCUAUUCGAGAAAGCGACAGAAGAUAUAGUAGUACCGGUACUCACGGUCAGCUCACGCUUA